CGGAGGGUGCGAGCGUUGUCCGGAAUCACUGGGCGUAAAGGGCGCGUAGGUGGCCCGUCAAGCGCGCGGUGAAAGCCCGGGGCUCAACCCCGGGUCGGCCGUGCGGACUGGCGGGCUCGAGCACUGUAGGGCGGUGGAAUUCCGGGUGUAGCGGUGGAAUGCGUAGAGAUCCGGAAGAACACCGGUGGCGAAGGCGGCCCGCUGGGCAGGAAGACGGGGCAACCCGUCGGCUGACACUGAGGCGCGACAGCGUGGGGAGCAAACAGGAUUAGAUACCCUGGUAGUCCACGCCGUAAACGAUGGGCACUAGGUGCCUGGGGGAGCGACCCCCCGGGCGCCGGCGCUAACGCAUUAAGUGCCCCGCCUGGGGAGUACGGCCGCAAGGCUG
This 388-nucleotide ribosomal RNA is filed under the name uncultured organism. RNAcentral's name for it is "bacterial SSU rRNA". It matches the Rfam family "Bacterial small subunit ribosomal RNA", at positions 526 to 896 of the family's 1533-position model. The record is from RNAcentral.